CUGGAGGACUGUGGGUAUUAGGUGUCCAAGAAGAAAGCUCAAAUCUGCUGACGGCAGGUACCUUGCUUGGGAUUUACUAUCCGACAGGGGUCCGAACGCAGCCCGGGAACAGAAAGAAAGCAGGUUAUUUACAAUCUACCGGAGCCUAAGGGCAGAAGGCAGGGGUCCGAACGCAGCCCGGGAACAGAAAGAAAGCAGGUUAUUUACAAUCUACCGGAGCCUAAGGGCAGAAGGCAGGUAAGGGAAUUCUUGGGAGCUGUGGGGUUUUGUAGACUGGAUCCCAAACUUUGCAGUAUUAGCCAAGCCUUUGUAUGAGGUCACAAAGGGGGCGGGGAACGGAACCUUUGGAAUGGGGAUCCCAAGAACAAAAAGUCUUUCAGGAGUUAAAGGAAAAACUUCUGGCAGCCCCAGCCCUGGGGCUACCCGAUCUGACAAAGCCUUUUCCAUUGAAUGCGUCAGAUAGAGAAAAGAUGGCAGCUGGACUUUUAACCGAAACUCUGGGGCCCUGGCUGAGGCCGGUGGCCUAGUUGUCUAAACAACUAGAGAGGGUUUCUAAAGGAUGGCCCCUCAUGUUUGAGGGCCGUGGCAUCAACUGCCCUGAUAGUACAAGAAGCAAAUAAGCUGACUCUUGGGCAAAACCUGAACAUAAAGGCCGCCCAUUUUGGGUUGGGUGACAGCCAUCCCCUCUUCCCCCCCUGCCUUAGGACCCCCAUCGCGUAUCCUAAGAUCCUUAGGACUCACCUGGAGGACUGUGGGUAUUAGGUGUCCAAGAAGAAAGCUCAAAUCUGCCAACGGCAGGUACCUUACUUGGGAUUUACUCUCCGACGGGUCCGAUGCCGCCCGGGAACAGAAAGAAAGCAGGUCAUUUGCAAUCUACCGGAGCCUAAGGGCAGAAGGCAGGUGAGGGAAUUCUCAGGGGCUGUGGGGUUUUGUAGACUGUUCAUCCCAAACUUUGCAGUAUUAGCCAAGCCUUUGUAUGAGGUCACAAAGGGGGCGUGGACCGGAACCUUUGGAAUGGGGAACCCAAUAACAGCAAGUCUUUCAUGAGUUAAAGGAAAAAUGUCUGGCAGCCCCAGCCCUGGGGAUACCCGAUCUGACAAAGCCUUUUCCAUUGUAUGCGUUAUAGACAGAAAAGAUGGCAGCUGGACUUUUAACCCAAACUGUGGGGCCCUGGCUGAGGCCGGUGGCCUACGUCUCUGAACAACUAGACAGGGUUUCUGAAGGAUGGCUCCCCUGUUUGAG
RNAcentral lists this long non-coding RNA (1242 nucleotides) under Homo sapiens (human). RNAcentral describes it as "non-protein coding lnc-SLC25A30-2:3". Lineage: Eukaryota; Metazoa; Chordata; Mammalia; Primates; Hominidae. The record is from RNAcentral.